This 295-nucleotide ribosomal RNA is filed under the name uncultured bacterium. RNAcentral's name for it is "partial 16S ribosomal RNA". It matches the Rfam family "Bacterial small subunit ribosomal RNA", at positions 775 to 1067 of the family's 1533-position model. The record is from RNAcentral.
GGAUUAGAUACCCUGGUAGUCCAUGCUGUAAACGAUGUGUGCUAGACGUUGGAAAUUUUAUUUUCAGUGUCGCAGCAAAAGCGUUAAGCACACCGCCUGGGGAGUACGACCGCAAGGUUAAAACUCAAAUGAAUUGACGGGGACCCGCACAAGCAGUGGAGCAUGUGGUUUAAUUCGAAGAUACGCGCAGAACCUUACCAACUCUUGACAUGUCCGUCGCGACUCGUAGAGAUAUGAGUCUUCGGUUCGGCCGGACGGAACACAGGUGCUGCAUGGCUGUCGUCAGCUCGUGCCG